UUUCCACCCUCACAACCAAAGCAAUGACACAAAAGAUUGAAACAAGGAUUUACCAGGGACAUUCAAAUGGUUCAAAAGUGUUUGGCAAUUUUCUCAAUCCACCUAUCUCAAUUCUAGACAAAACAUUAAUAAGGAAAAUGGUUGAGUGCAAAAAUCAUUCAAAGGAAUUCAAAGCCAUAUAUGUCAAAAUUGAAUCAAACUUACACACACAUCAUAAUAAUGAUGAAUAACAUGAAGGGU
RNAcentral lists this long non-coding RNA (240 nucleotides) under Lathyrus oleraceus (garden pea). RNAcentral describes it as "Pisum sativum (pea) long non-coding RNA (PSAT_LNC034066)". The record is from RNAcentral. Lineage: Eukaryota; Viridiplantae; Streptophyta; Magnoliopsida; Fabales; Fabaceae.